GCGAGCGAACGGGGAGGAGCCCAGAGCCUGAAUCAGCAUGUGUGUUAGUGGAAGCGUCUGGAAAGGCGCGCGAUACAGGGUGACAGCCCCGUACACAAAAGCGCAUGUGCUGUGAGCUCGAUGAGUAGGGCGGGACACGUGGUAUCCUGUCUGAAUAUGGGGGGACCAUCCUCCAAGGCUAAAUACUCCUGACUGACCGAUAGUGAACCAGUACCGUGAGGGAAAGGCGAAAAGAACCCCGGCGAGGGGAGUGAAAAAGAACCUGAAACCGUGUACGUACAAGCAGUGGGAGCACAGGUUUACCUGUGUGACUGCGUACCUUUUGUAUAAUGGGUCAGCGACUUAUAUUCUGUAGCAAGGUUAACCGUAUAGGGGAGCCGGAGGGAAACCGAGUCUUAAUUGGGCGUUAAGUUGCAGGGUAUAGACCCGAAACCCGGUGAUCUAGCCAUGGGCAGGUUGAAGGUUGGGUAACACUAACUGGAGGACCGAACCGACUAAUGUUGAAAAAUUAGCGGAUGACCUGUGGCUGGGGGUGAAAGGCCAAUCAAACCGGGAGAUAGCUGGUUCUCCCCGAAAGCUAUUUAGGUAGCGCCUCGUGAAUUCAUCUCCGGGGGUAGAGCACUGUUUCGGCUAGGGGGCCAUCCCGGCUUACCAACCCGAUGCAAACUGCGAAUACCGGAGAAUGUUAUCACGGGAGACACACGGCGGGUGCUAACGUCCGUCGUGAAGAGGGAAACAACCCAGACCGCCAGCUAAGGUCCCAAAGUCAUGGUUAAGUGGGAAACGAUGUGGGAAGGCCCAGACAGCCAGGAUGUUGGCUUAGAAGCAGCCAUCAUUUAAAGAAAGCGUAAUAGCUCACUGGUCGAGUCGGCCUGCGCGGAAGAUGUAACGGGGCUAAACCAUG
This 904-nucleotide ribosomal RNA is filed under the name Salmonella enterica subsp. enterica serovar Reading. Its description in RNAcentral is "partial 23S ribosomal RNA". It matches the Rfam family "Bacterial large subunit ribosomal RNA", at positions 249 to 1191 of the family's 2925-position model. Lineage: Bacteria; Pseudomonadati; Pseudomonadota; Gammaproteobacteria; Enterobacterales; Enterobacteriaceae. The record is from RNAcentral.